Long non-coding RNA from Helianthus annuus (common sunflower), 2571 nucleotides. RefSeq lists it as uncharacterized. The transcript is spliced from 5 exons. NCBI's taxonomy places the organism in Eukaryota, Viridiplantae, Streptophyta, Magnoliopsida, Asterales, Asteraceae. The record is from RefSeq and is a predicted model, not a curated record.
CGUCCACCGAAUUUUUGGAAACCCUGAAUUUAUGUUGCGGCGUUUCAUCUUUCAUCGGCGUAUAUCUUCCUCUCAGAACCCUACAACCGCAAAACUGAAACAAGUGAGAAAUCAAUCGUCACUCCAUUUGAUGUAAUCCAUUUAUUCACCGAAGAAUACGGAGAGUGGGGAGCAGACACCAGCUUUGGAUUAAAAUCAAUAAGCAUAAUCUGAACUUAGUCGUGUUUUGUUUCUCCUUUAUCAUCUUCUAUUAAUGGUCAUUUGUUUGGCCGAUCAUGGAGCGGUGAGGGUUUAAUCGGAGCACCAAAGUCCGUCGGGUCAAGGAUUUCUACCAUGAUAUGACGAAAGGUCAGUGAUGAUGUUGUUUGGGGCGAUGGCAGUGGUAGGUAGUGGAAAAUCGAAGCCUCAACAGUGGCGGCUUUAGGGUUCCUUCAUGAGUCAGUCGGGUAUUGUCUCUUCUCUCUUGAAUUUUCAUUCGUAGCCUUCAUCCAGUUUCUGUCCGUCGAUCAGGUACCCCUACAAAAUCAUUUCGAAGCAUUUUUAUGCUAUGUGUGUUUGUGAUUUUGAGUUUAACCUAGAUUUUACAGAGAUGGGGAAGAAAGCUUCUGAUUUUGAGGGCUUUGGGUGUAUUUGCAUUUGUUGAUUUUGCGUGCAGUGGUCAAUUAGACUUACAUUGACAUUCAGGCUGGUCGAUUUCCACCCAAAUUGCCAUCUUGUGUAUUAGCAGAAAGCCACCGUUUGUAAACUCGAUUAUCUUUCUCGUAUCUAUGUUCUCUCGUUAUUUUGAUCUCUUUAUUUAAUCUUCUAUUGUUUUGGACUGCCAAAUUAUUUUGUAGAUUAUGAACCAUUGCUUAUAUUUCAGGUACAGGGGACCAUAGUUUUGUGCAAAGGUUGCGUCUUGGUGGGCCACUUUUGAAGGAAAAUAUAGCAACCAUGGAGCUGAGGACAUUUCGACUAUUAAGACAUUACUAGAGCAUAAUGUUGAUUGUAGUCCCGAAGAUAAGGUUUUUAAUCAUUCUUUUUAAAAUUUGUUGUCAUGUUAAUAAAGGCUGGCAUGAUUAUAAUUUCUGUUGCUUUUGAAAGAAGGCAUGCCCCCCAUGGGAAAUCAAAGGUUACUGUUUUUUUUAAACGAUGUUUUUGUUGAAGUCGUUGAUUCUUUUUGUUUUUUUUAACAAAUGUAAAUAGUGAAAUUUGAUUGUAGCUGCGUUGUUUUUGAGAUAAUUUUGUUCGGUUCGAAACGAUACGGGUCGAAAUGGUAUGGGUCGAAAUGGCUCGCAUUGAAACGGCUCGCGUCGAAAUGUUUCGUUUCGUCUGGAAGAUUUGGCGAUUCAAGGUGGAAGUUGAGGGAUUUUUUUUUCCAAAUGUGAUGGCGUUCCCUUGAUUACUGAAAAGGAACUGGUGGAAACCUUUAUGAAUCGGUGAUACACUUUGUGUAAACUUAGUGCAUUAAAUAUCAAACCAUACACAGAAAAAGAAACAUACGUGCGAGUCCAACUUGUGUAUUUACUGAAUUGUAUCAGCUGAAAAGUUCAAACACAAGUGCUGUGCUGGUUUGCUUACAAUGUGAUUUUUUAGCUUGAACUAAUAGAUAGGCAACCAUGGCUUCAUGUAUCUCAUAGCGACAGGCGUAAUUAAUCUCUGACACGACUAUAGAGGUUUAAAUGCAACUGCAGCUGAUACUAAACAAGGGUUUAAAAGAGCCUUUUCUGCUCCAUGGCCCGAAAAACUACGUUACCAGGGAGAUGGAAGACCAUUCUGGAGGCUUGUUGUUUCUGAAGCUACUGGUAGUGCUAAUAACGAUUAUUUUGAAGAAGUUUAUGAGGUUAGCCACCUAACGACUCAAAUGGGUCGCCAAAACAUUUAGGUUAAGAACUGGUGGGUAAAAUGGGUUGGACGGGAUAUAACUUAUAAGUGUUGAAAAUCAUCAAUGAGAAUGUUUUUAAACUCAUUCAGCAUCUAAUAUGUUUAAGGUUAGUUAGGCCAUUUUAAGAAAGCGAGAGUAAGGAUGAAACCGUAAAAGAUUUUAAAAAUGUAUUAUUAGGUUGAAAAGUGAUAAUCAUGUUAGGCAAGUCUGACGGGUACCAAGUAUAUGAUGGAAUGCCUUAAUGACGCCACUGCCUAUGGUGCUGGUUCCGCCUCUUGCUGCUCGAACCAGGUUUCGGUUUUGACUAUAUCAUAAGGAUGUGAUGCUGGGAAACACCAACAAGCUUUCAACCUCACCGGAGGAUUCGCUCCGUCGAAGUGCUUUGAUGACAAUAGUCCUAUAAUGGCAUGGGUAUUCCACGACCCAAACUAAAUGAUGUUGCAAAGGGACCUGGAGACAAAAGAAGCCUGGUAAACGCAUGUCAAAAUGAUAUGUGCCAUGUUCUAAAAGCCAUGCACAUCACGUUCCCAUUUGCCAAUGGCUGUUAUUUUUCUUUUGCAUGAUUAGAUAGUGCCAUAGUCGGUUAGUGGUGAGGGUUUUCUUAGUUGCAAGUUAGCCAUUUUUGUUAAUUUCGUAUUUCUUCUGUAAGUCUAUAUAUGAGCCAUAUGUAUUUAGAUCAAGGGAAUGAAGAAAUGAAUUAUUCAAAA